This 352-nucleotide transfer-messenger RNA is filed under the name Clostridiaceae. Its description in RNAcentral is "Clostridium_AR polyendosporum Standard tmRNA". It matches the Rfam family "transfer-messenger RNA". Rfam says of the family: Bacterial tmRNA, also known as 10Sa RNA or SsrA, is named for its dual tRNA and mRNA-like properties. Its role is to liberate the mRNA from a stalled ribosome. Lineage: Bacteria; Bacillati; Bacillota; Clostridia; Eubacteriales. RNAcentral also lists the same sequence under 1 other name. The record is from RNAcentral.
GGGGGCGUUUUGGCUUCGACGGGGGUAAGAUGGGCUUGAGAAGCGAGUCGAGGGACGUAUGGGCCCGCGUUAAAAAACUAUACAAUAAAUAUAAACGCAAACGAUAAUUACGCAUUAGCUGCUUAGUGUAGCUCGUCCUACUCGAGAGUCCCACGACUUGGGAUAGGGCGCUAAUAAGUGGGGAACCGAACUUAGCAAAGCUUUGAGCUAAGGACGGAAUUUAUGAAGCUACUGAAGUGAGAAGCUUGUCUGUGAGCGUCUCAUGGAGGGAAUGUUAAAGUACAGACUGCACUCGGAGAAGAUCAGGCUGGUCUGCUUUCGGACAGGGGUUCGAUACCCCUCGCCUCCACCA